UACGGAGGGUGCAAGCGUUAUCCGGAUUCACUGGGUUUAAAGGGUGCGUAGGAGGGCAGGUAAGUCAGUGGUGAAAUCCCCGAGCUUAACUUGGGACUGCCGUUGAUACUAUCUGUCUUGAAUACCGUGGAGGUGAGCGGAAUAUGUCAUGUAGCGGUGAAAUGCUUAGAUAUGACAUAGAACACCAAUUGCGAAGGCAGCUCGCUACACGAAUAUUGACUCUGAGGCACGAAAGCGUGGGGAUCAAACAGGG
Molecule: ribosomal RNA, 253 nt
Filed under: uncultured bacterium
Lineage: Bacteria
Description: partial 16S ribosomal RNA
Rfam family: Bacterial small subunit ribosomal RNA
Source: RNAcentral